Molecule: non-coding RNA, 46 nt
Filed under: Schistosoma haematobium
Lineage: Eukaryota; Metazoa; Platyhelminthes; Trematoda; Strigeidida; Schistosomatidae
Source: RNAcentral
GUGCUAAUGAGGAGUCCCACAACAGGACGAAACGGUCGUCUAGUGC